UAAAGCCAAUUGAAUCACAGUCCAUAGUUCUGUCAGCAACUGUGAAAGAAACUGAGGAAUUCUGUGCUUUCUUAAUUUUUACGAUGAACAAGUGGGUGAUCUUAGCAAUACUUUUAGUCACGGCAGUUUUGAUUACCGCUGAGAAAGACGACAAAGAUGAUGCAGGUGAAGGAACAGGAAAAGGUCACUGUUUGUGGAAUGGGGAAUUGUGUCGUUGUUGUCCUGGUUUGAGCUGUGUCCACGGAAGAUGUCAAUUUUUCGUCGGAUGAUAUCACAAGAAUGACAUGCAGACGUUCAGAUAGAACGAGUAAAGCAUACAGAUGUAGGAGAAAUAUAUAUAAUUUCUUUACGUUCGCCGUGGAUAUCCAACUUUUUAUAUAUUUUUUGAAAAUAUUUUCUAUUUGAAUUUUAAAUAUCUUUCUACACGAAAUAAAAAAAUAUUUGAGAAAAACGAA
Limulus polyphemus (Atlantic horseshoe crab) is the source of this 455-nucleotide long non-coding RNA. RefSeq lists it as uncharacterized. Lineage: Eukaryota; Metazoa; Arthropoda; Merostomata; Xiphosura; Limulidae. The record is from RefSeq and is a predicted model, not a curated record. The transcript has 3 exons.